UACGUAGGGGGCAAGCGUUGUCCGGAAUCAUUGGGCGUAAAGGGUGCGUAGGCGGCGCGGGAAGUCGGGGGUGAAAUCUCGGGGCUUAACUCCGAAACUGCAUUCGAUACUGCCGUGCUUGAGGACUGGAGAGGAGACUGGAAUUUACGGUGUAGCGGUGAAAUGCGUAGAUAUCGUAAGGAAGACCAGUGGCGAAGGCGGGUCUCUGGACAGUUCCUGACGCUGAGGCACGAAGGCCAGGGGAGCAAACGGG
This 253-nucleotide ribosomal RNA is filed under the name uncultured bacterium. Its description in RNAcentral is "partial 16S ribosomal RNA". It matches the Rfam family "Bacterial small subunit ribosomal RNA", at positions 524 to 776 of the family's 1533-position model. The record is from RNAcentral.